CACCUGAUCCCAUCCCGAACUCAGAAGUGAAACGCAAUCGCGCCGAUGGUAGUGUGGGGUCUCCCCAUGUGAGAGUAGGUCAUCGCCAAGC
RNAcentral lists this ribosomal RNA (91 nucleotides) under Shewanella sp. The record is from RNAcentral. Lineage: Bacteria; Pseudomonadati; Pseudomonadota; Gammaproteobacteria; Alteromonadales; Shewanellaceae. RNAcentral also lists the same sequence under 2 other names.